RNAcentral lists this unclassified non-coding RNA (336 nucleotides) under soil metagenome. Its description in RNAcentral is "partial contains 5.8S ribosomal RNA, internal transcribed spacer 2, and large subunit ribosomal RNA". The stretch from base 1 to 120 matches the Rfam family "5.8S ribosomal RNA", at positions 35 to 154 of the family's 154-position model. The record is from RNAcentral.
GAUGAAGAACGUAGCGAAAUGCGAUAAGUAAUGUGAAUUGCAGAAUUCAGUGAAUCAUCGAAUCUUUGAACGCACAUUGCGCCCGCCAGUAUUCUGGCGGGCAUGCCUGUUCGAGCGUCAUUUCAACCAUCAAGCCCCAGGCUUGUGUUGGGGACCUGCGGCUGACGCAGGCCCUGAAAACCAGUGGCGGGCUCGCUGUCACACCGGGCGUAGUAGAUUUUAUCUCGCUCAGGGCGUGCUGCGGGUUCCGGCCGUUAAAAAGCCUUUUUUACCCAAGGUUGACCUCGGAUCAGGUAGGAAGACCCGCUGAACUUAAGCAUAUCAAUAAGCGGAGGA